CUUGGGUAAGUUGACAAACAGCGCAGGUGCAGGUGGCUUGGACCAGCUACAUGGAAACCCACAGAGAUGUCUGGAUUUUGUUCCCCUGCAUUCAAGGAGACACAACUACGGAAAUUUUGCUGGAUAAACUCCAGGUUUUUGCAGAAGACUCAAAUCCUGAGUGAACAGAUAUUGUGGCCUGUGAAAUCAAAGAGAGAUGCUGAACGUUUCAAGUCAUUCGGUGUCUGUGGACUAAACCCUGUGGAGGAAUGGCCUUGUGGAGUGGAGGUAACCCCGGCUCACUCAGCCAGGCUGGUGUUGGCUUCCACUGGGCUUCAAACCCUGUGUUUACUCUGUAGUCCCGCAUUUGCUUUGCAACAGCCUGAUCAUCAAGGCAGAAAAAAAGAGAGUUGGAGCAUGGCAGGGAGGAUGCUAUUGCUUCUUUUCUUUCUUUGAGUAACAAACAUAAAUAGAAGCAAGACAGGACUUCGAUUUGAUUCUUAAAGAAGGUUUUAGAAUGUUUUGUUCUUGCACAACAAAGGCACAGAGACAAAAAGACUCCUACUUUGAAAGCAAAAUUUAUCUAUCUAAAAAAAAAAGAAACAGAUGAAAAUCAAUCAUUUAAAAAGUUACUGAAACUUUAGUAAAUUACCAAUGGUUUUAGAAAUGAGCAGAUCACUGUUCCUGUGUGUUUGUAUUUCACGUUCAAACAUUUGCAAAAGAAUAACACUACAAAAUCCAAUGUGGUUGAGUUU
Molecule: long non-coding RNA, 734 nt
Organism: Sapajus apella (tufted capuchin)
Lineage: Eukaryota; Metazoa; Chordata; Mammalia; Primates; Cebidae
Exons: 3
Source: RefSeq, a predicted model, not a curated record